GUUUGCAGGGCCUCGGUCCAAAUUCCCUUGGAGAAGCAUAGAGGCAUCAACGCAGGCCAGCCCGGAGGGGUCCGUGCGUCCGGCCGAGCCCGUCCGUUGCUCUUCCUCCUUCUGGGCAGGGAAGGGGGGAGCCCGUCCUGCAGCGCAGCCAGCUCAGCGGGGACAGGGCUGGCCUGCCCCAGAUCUGUCACCUGGCAGCGAUGGGGACAGCCCGGGCGAAGGAAAACCCGUCCAUUCCCACGGAAAACCCCUCCAUUCCCACGGCUCCAGCAGCAGAGCCGGCCCCGAUGGGCCGUGGUGCCCCUGUGCAGGGGGUUGGUGCCCGGACGGGGCUCUCCACAAGCCGCGGACCCGCCGCAGAGCCCUGAGCACACCACAGCUCCCUGGGAAGCCCCAGCCGAGCGCGGCUCAAGUCCUUGGAGGCGUCGAGCGGCACCGGAGGCAGCGGGAGGAGCAGGCAGCACGUCCCGGAGCUCCUCAGCCCCGUUUGGAGAGCAAGCCACGCGCGGUGCCGGCUCCGUUUCCAUUUUCUCUCCGGCACAGAGAGGAUUUGUAGCAUCCCAGCUUCUUGCAGACUCCUUGGAUCAGAACCCCAGGUGUGUGGCAAGGCGCGCAGCGCAGCCGGGGAGACCUUGCAGAGGAACCGCUGCCAGGCUCCCGUGCAGGGGGCCCGAUGCUGCCCCACAGCUAACUCCAGCAUCCCCCGCCAGCCACGCAGCUCGUACCGAACCCCACUGGGAAGCGGGGCGCCGAGCAUCCCCAACGAGGGCGGCCAGAGGGCAGCCAAGCGAGAGCGACAGUGACAGUGACAGUGACGACAGCCGCGGCCGCCCCGCUCCUCCCCACUGCCUCUGUGCUGGGGCCAAGCGAGCCCACACUCCGGCCCCCCCAGACCCUGCCCGGCUCCGACCCCGCAGCCUUCACAGGGCAGAGACCAGCCCAAGACGACCGCCCUGCAUCCAAGAUGACCAGUCCAAGACGACCCCCGGUGCUUCCCCAGAGCACGGCCCGGAGCCAGCCCCAUGCCACCGGCUCCACGCGCCCCAUCCGUCAGCAGCACCCGGCCAAAACCCCAACGAGACGCUCGGCACGGCACAGCCAGGCCACCCCAGGGCCACCUCCUCGGGGUCGGUCCCCACGUCACCGGCAGCCCCGGCUGCCAGGCGCCAUCCGGCACAGGCAGCAGUGACAUGA
Molecule: long non-coding RNA, 1194 nt
Filed under: Anser brachyrhynchus (Pink-footed goose)
Lineage: Eukaryota; Metazoa; Chordata; Aves; Anseriformes; Anatidae
Description: lncRNA (ENSABRG00000020444.1)
Source: RNAcentral